Molecule: RNA transcript, 5064 nt
Organism: Prosopis cineraria
Lineage: Eukaryota; Viridiplantae; Streptophyta; Magnoliopsida; Fabales; Fabaceae
Gene name: synaptotagmin-5-like
Exons: 13
Source: RefSeq, a predicted model, not a curated record
AACGCAUUCAUUACCGCUUAGUCAACUUCCUAUCUACCAGUUGAAGCCUUGUGAUCCUCUGAAAGUAGUGAAAUUUGUAGCUUCACUUCGACACUUACAUUUAUCCGAAUCCCGUCAAAUCUCCAUCACACUUUCCUUCAAGCUUUCACGUCGCUCACAUUUCACAUUCACAGUCACAGCCUCUGCUUCUACCGGCAAAGGGAAAAUGGCUUUCUUUUUCGGCCUCUUGCUCGGAAUAGUUGUGGGACUUGCCGUGAUUGUAGGGUUCGUCAAGUGCGAGAAUGUGCGGUCCCUGCGCCGGUCUGAGCUGGCAGCGACGGUUGCCACUUUUGCGAGGAUGACGGUGGAAGAUUCCAGAAAGAUCUUACCUCCUCAGUACUACCCUUCUUGGGUCGUCUUCUCUCAGAGGCAGAAGGUAACUUGGCUUAACAAUCAUCUUACAAAGAUCUGGCCCUAUGUUAACGAGGCUGCCUCUGAGCUAAUAAAGACAUCGGUGGAACCCGUUCUUGAACAAUAUAGACCCAUUAUUUUGGCGUCGCUGAAAUUUUCCAAGCUCACUCUUGGUACUGUAGCACCCCAGUUUACAGGGUUCUCUAUAAUUGAGGAUGGAGGGAGUGGUGUUACAAUGGAAAUGGAAAUGCAGUGGGAUGGGAAUCCAAGUAUUAUACUUGAUAUUAAGACUCUAGUUGGUGUUUCACUUCCAGUGCAGGUGAAGAAUAUUGGAUUUACAGGCAUUUUCAGAUUGAUUUUUAAGCCACUAGUUGAUGAAUUUCCUGGCUUUGGAGCUGUUUGUUUCUCUUUAAGGCAGAAGAAAAAUUUGGAUUUUACCCUAAAAGUUGUUGGCGGUGACAUAUCAACAAUCCCUGGAUUAUAUGAAGCAAUUGAGGGGACAAUUCGGGAUGCUGUUGAAGAUUCUAUCACAUGGCCUGUGAGAAAAGUUAUACCUAUCUUGCCUGGAGAUUACAGUGAUCUAGAGUUAAAGCCUAUGGGAGUAUUAGGAGUGAAGCUUGUGCAGGCGAAGGAGCUGACAAACAAGGAUAUAAUUGGUAAAUCAGAUCCAUAUGCUGAACUAUAUAUUCGUCCUUUACGUGACAGAAUAAAAACUAGCAAGACAAUAAACAAUGACUUGAAUCCUAUUUGGAAUGAACACUUCGAAUUUAUUGUAGAAGAUGCAUACACUCAGCACUUAGUAGUUAAAAUUUUUGAUGCUGAGGGUUUACAGUCAGCUGAUUUGAUUGGAUGUGCUCGUAUAGAUCUUUGUGAACUUCAGCCUGGUAAAGUUAAAGAUGUGUGGUUGAACCUGGUGAAGGAUUUGGAGAUCCAGAGAGAUAACAAGAACAGGGGGCAGGUACAUCUAGAACUUCUGUACUAUCCUUUCGGCACGGAGAAUGGAUUUUCCAAUCCUUUUGCUCCCGAAUAUAUGACAUCGUUGGAAAAGGUUCUUAAAAGUUCAGCGAAGGGAGUAGAAGCUCCUGAUGAUGAAAAUACUAUUGCACAAAAGAGAAAGGAGGUUAUUGUUAGAGGCGUCCUUUCUGUUACUGUAAUAUCUGCUGAAGACUUGCCUCCAGCAGAUCUGAUGAGGGGAAAAGCUGAUCCUUAUAUUGUUCUUACCAUGAAGAAAACAGAAAAUAAAAACAAAACCAGGGUUGUUAAUGACAACUUGAAUCCUGUUUGGAACCAAACAUUUGACUUCGUUGUUGAGGAUGGAUUACAUGAUAUGCUCAUUGUUGAAGUUUGGGACCACGACACAUUUGGAAAGGAUUACAUGGGCAGAUGCAUAAUGACGCUUACUAGGGUCAUACUGGAAGGGGAAGUGAAAGAUCGUUUUAAGUUAGAGGCUGCAAAAUCUGGCUACUUGAAUUUGCAUCUCAAGUGGCUACCACAACCAAUUUAUCGUGAUCAUUGAGUGUCUCUUUUAUCCUAGACACCUGAUAAAUCAGCCAUAUAAUUGUGCAUGUUAGAAGGUAACAAAGGAUCUGAGCUCGUGAACAAAGGAUCGUGGAUUGAGUAUUUCUCACUUUCCAAAGGCUGAAGAUCACUCCCUCUCUCCCCCUGAAUUGAGGCAUUUGGAUAAAAAGGUUCAUUUUCAGCAAAGGUAACGUCCCGGCUGAUGUAAAGUCGUUUGGUAGUUGGGUCAAAACAUUUAUACCCCUUUUGUGUGGAAGAAGAGUAACCAAGAAAGAGACAUUUGACAGCUUUGGGUUCCAAUUUAUGGGAAUGAUGAGAAUGAACAUAGGUGGUACAGCCAAAGAUUUUGAGGGGAAGAUUAGUGGUGAGGUGAGUGACAGAGUGACAUUCUUGUAAUUUUUCAAGCGGUGAAAUAUAAGAGAGAACACGACUUGGCAUGCGGUUGAUUAAGUAUGUAGCUGUGAGAAUUGCAUCACCCCAAAAGAAUUUAGGAACAUUGUAGGUAAAGAGUAAAGCACGUGCAACUUCUAACAGGUGUUUGUUUUUCCUUUCCGCAAUGCCAUUUUGUUGAGGGGUAUUCGGACAAGUGCUUUUAUGAAUAAUUCCAUGUUCUGUUAGAAACAUAUGCAUGGUGUUAUUGAAGUAUUCAGUUCCAUUAUCAGUAUGAAGCACUUGAAUUGUGGUGUCAAAUUGGUUUUUUAUCAUUGUAUAAAACUCAGAGAACACAUAGGGAACAGAGGAUUUAUCUUGCAAUAAGUAAACCCAACACAUCCUAGUAUGAUCAUCAAUAAAUGUGAUGAACCACUUUGUAUUAGUUCGAUUAGUGACACGAGUAGGACCCCACAAAUCACUAUGAAUGAUAGAAAAAGGACGAGUAGAUUUGUACUCAAUAGGUUUGAAAACGGAUCUGUGAUGUUUAGCGAGCUCACAAUCAGUACAAUAAAAUGGAGUGUUUUUAUUGACUUGAAAUUCUGGAAACAGACGACAUAAAUAUUGAAAAUUUGGGUGACCUAGUCUCCUAUGCCAUAACAUAAGAUCUUUAAAGUCUUUAUUUUCAUAGGUAGAUGCGACAUUGCAUUGAAUUCGAGACCAAAGACUACUCACGGUUGAUUCGUCAAGGUAGUAAAGACCAUUAUGCACCUUAGCACUCCCAAUCAUCUUCCCCGAUGAGAGAUCCUGAAAAAUACAAUGAGUGGAACAAAAGUGAGCCCAACAAUUAGCCUGUUUAGUUAAUUUACUAAUGGACAGCAAAUUACAGGCCAAAUAUGGUACAUGUAGAACAUGUUCUAAUUUCAUAGCUUCAGAGAUAACAACACUGCCUGUUCCUGCUAUCGACGAAGAUGACCCAUUUGCUGUACUUACUGUCUCAUUUCCAGCACUAAGGACAUAGGUACUAAAUAGCUUAGAGUCUGAAGUCAUAUGAUCAGUUGCCCCUGUAUCCACAAUCCAUUUGAAGUUACUAGUAGAGGUAAGCAAGGCACAGUUACCUUUAUGAGCCAUUGACACAGUGUGAUUCGGUUUCUGAUUUUUCUCAUUCUUCUGAAGCAUACUGAGCAUCUCGAGUAACUUACCGAGCUGUUCCUUAUCAAUCUCUGGUGUUGAUGAAGUUGAAUCUAUUUUAUCUGGUGGCACAUCAUGAGAAGCGUGGUAUCCUCGUGUUUUUCCUUUUCUUGGCUUCCAAUCAGUCGGUUUUCCAUGGAUAUCCCAGCAAGUGUCACGGGUAUGCCCAAUCUUCUUGCAAUGUUCACAAGAAACCUUCCCUUUCUGAUUCUUUUGGUUUGCGUCACUGCUCUUACUUACAAGAGCAGCAGAGUCUAGAGUAGGUACUGGAGUAGGGGUAGUGCCAGGAAGCAUGACCUUGCGUCUCGAGGCUUCACGACGUACCUCAGAAAAAACUUCCCUGGUUGAUGGGAGUGGUGCACGACUCAAGACUCGUCCUCGUACAUCAUCCAGGGACUGAUUUAAUCCAGCAAGAAACUGAAAUACACGCUCAUUUUCAACUUUCUCCUUAUACCGAAUUGCAUCACUACUGCUAGACCAUUCCACAUCUGUCAUUAAGUCUAGUUCCUGCCAUAUAGCAUUCAGUUCUAACCAGAAGGCAGUGACAUCACGUUCUCCUUGUUGCAGUGUCCAUGCCUUUGUUUUGAGCUCAUAUAUCUGAGCUAAGUCCUUCCCAUCAGAGUAUGAAUCUCGUAUUGCCUUCCAGAUUUCAUGGGCUGAGGGGAGAAACAUAAAGCUUUGUUGAAUUUCUGGAAUCAUGGCAUUUAUUAACCAUGAUGAUAUCAGUGAAUUUUCGGUGUGCCAUUGCUGGAACUCUUGCGUCUUGGGGUCUUCUGGGAUCUUUGAUGAGCCAUCAAGAUAGCCCAUUUUUCCUUGGCCUCCGAUCGCGAGUUUCAUAGCUUGUGCCCACAUACGGUAGUUUGUACCGUUUAGUUUCACUGAUAUAACGUGUACCGAUGAUCCUUCGUGGCUGGUAGUCGACCCGAAGGGACCACCUGCCCUGCUCGGAUCAGUCUUCGAGGACCUAUCACUGUUCGACAUGGGAGAACUGUGAACUGGGUUCGACUCGUGCUCGGUACUUUCUGUCUCAGAGUUCUCGGCGUCGAACAGCACUGGGAAGUCACGGAGCUCUGAUACCAUGUAGUGAAUGAGCCGAGAAACUCUUGUAUAUACAUCUAAGGUAUGCACGAGAAUAUAUACAGGAGAGAAAACAAUCAUAUCUCCGAGAAUAAUGGAGAUUGAUUCAGGGGAGGAGAAAAAGGAAAUAAUCUCGUAAAAAACUUCCUACUCUUAACUACCCGGUAUCCCACAAAAUAAUAACAUAUAUUUACAUUGAAUAUAAUAAAUACUAGGUCUAACCACAAAUUUGCUUGAACUCUGCAGCAACAAUGGAGAACAAAUCUUCAAGUAUAAUGACAUUUACAUAUUUCAAAGUAAUGCUUUUUAGUUUUAUCCCGUUAUUGUUUUUUGUAGCCCUACUUCCUAUGUUGAGAUGUAGACCAAUACUAGGCUGCCACAUGGCAUACCUUGUACCUUGUACUCAUAGAGCAAGUGCAAUAAGCCAAUCAUGUACAUAAUUGUUUUAUUAUAUGAUAUCACACAUGAUGAAGAUAGAAGAUUGUUAUUGAAUGCCCUUUUUUGUUGAUUGCUGUCUAA